RNAcentral lists this ribosomal RNA (253 nucleotides) under uncultured bacterium. Its description in RNAcentral is "partial 16S ribosomal RNA". It matches the Rfam family "Bacterial small subunit ribosomal RNA", at positions 524 to 776 of the family's 1533-position model. The record is from RNAcentral.
UACGUAGGGGGCAAGCGUUGUCCGGAAUCAUUGGGCGUAAAGCGCGUGUAGGCGGUUCGGUAAGUCUGCUGUGAAAGUCCAGGGCUCAACCCUGGGAUGCCGGUGGAUACUGUCGGACUAGAGUACGGAAGAGGCGAGUGGAAUUCCCGGUGUAGCGGUGAAAUGCGCAGAUAUCGGGAGGAACACCAAUUGCGAAGGCAGCUCGCUGGGACGUCACUGACGCUGAGGCGCGAAGGCGUGGGGAGCGAACGGG